AGCGAACGCUGGCGGCAGGCCUAACACAUGCAAGUCGAACGAACUCUUCGGAGUUAGUGGCGGACGGGUGAGUAACACGUGGGAACGUGCCUUUAGGUUCGGAAUAACUCAGGGAAACUUGUGCUAAUACCGAAUGUGCCCUUCGGGGGAAAGAUUUAUCGCCUUUAGAGCGGCCCGCGUCUGAUUAGCUAGUUGGUGAGGUAAAGGCUCACCAAGGCGACGAUCAGUAGCUGGUCUGAGAGGAUGAUCAGCCACAUUGGGACUGAGACACGGCCCAAACUCCGACGGGAGGCAGCAGUGGGGAAUCUUGCCCAAUGGGCGAAAGCCUGACGCAGCCAUGCCGCGUGAAUGAUGAAGGUCUUAGGAUUGUAAAAUUCUUUCACCGGGGACGAUAAUGACGGUACCCGGAGAAGAAGCCCCGGCUAACUUCGUG
This 433-nucleotide ribosomal RNA is filed under the name uncultured bacterium. RNAcentral describes it as "partial 16S ribosomal RNA". It matches the Rfam family "Bacterial small subunit ribosomal RNA", at positions 29 to 507 of the family's 1533-position model. The record is from RNAcentral.